UGGAGCUUGACUCCACCUCCUCUAGACCUCAUUUAAGGGCUGACCACCACUAAGGCAGCAUCUCUUGGAGAUGCUUCCUGGUGGAGAUUACCUCAGCAUUUCCUAGCAAGGGCAUCCAUAUUGGGUAUUUUACUCCUCUGCCUUCUCAAAUGUUGUCCAAGGUUUUUCUUAAUGAGGACUAAAGAUGGCCUUCCGGCUGUGAGUGGAAACCUCAUCACCCUGCACCCAGGAAACUUUCUCCCAUUUCCUGGAUGAAUUGUUCAGGACAGAAAACAGCACAAUAUUCACGUAUGUGACCUUCCGCUAUUUGCCUCCUCCUGGCUUGUACAUUUGCCUCACAGGAGAGUGGGACCCAUGUGAAUGGACCACGAGAGUGUUCAUAUGUCUUAGAAGUUGGAGAGAUCCUCAUUACAAAACUAAGAAUUUCUUUACGAAAGAAUCUUAGCUUUCUAAUGGAUGUGGGACCCUUGAAAUCAACCCAUGCUUUUGCAUUUUUGUGGAGAAAACAAAGCUGAGUAUACUUAAAUUGUUAGUGUUAGUAUAGUAUUAAACUACAGAGUUACAGAACUGCUUCAUUCAAGACAACUAGACACUGAUGUGUCCCAUGUCAGGUAUCAUUUAAGCAGCCAUGCAAUAUCACGGUGAAGGGUAUAUCUGUAUUUCAAGAGGGCUCUGCAUCUGUACCAUGGGGGAUACAAGUUGUGUUUGUAUUAGAAAUAUUUCUUUUGCGGCUUGCCUACUUCUUACAUCUUGCUUCUUGCAU
This is a non-coding RNA of Coturnix japonica (Japanese quail), 763 nucleotides long. Lineage: Eukaryota; Metazoa; Chordata; Aves; Galliformes; Phasianidae. The record is from RefSeq and is a predicted model, not a curated record.